AUUGAACGCUAGCGGGAUGCUUUACACAUGCAAGUCGAACGGCAGCGCGGACUUCGGUCUGGCGGCGAGUGGCGAACGGGUGAGUAAUGUAUCGGAACGUGCCCAGUAGCGGGGGAUAACUACGCGAAAGCGUAGCUAAUACCGCAUACGCCCUACGGGGGAAAGCAGGGGAUCGUAAGACCUUGCACUAUUGGAGCGUCCGAUAUCGGAUUAGCUAGUUGGUGAGGUAACGGCUCACCAAGGCGACGAUCCGUAGCUGGUUUGAGAGGACGACCAGCCACACUGGGACUGAGACACGGCCCAGACUCCUACGGGAGGCAGCAGUGGGGAAUUUUGGACAAUGGGGGCAACCCUGAUCCAGCCAUCCCGCGUGUGCGAUGAAGGCCUUCGGGUUGUAAAGCACUUUUGGCAGGAAAGAAACGUCGCGGGCUAAUACCCCGUGGAACUGACGGUACCUGCAGAAUAAGCACCGGCUAACUACGUG
This 484-nucleotide ribosomal RNA is filed under the name uncultured bacterium. Its description in RNAcentral is "partial 16S ribosomal RNA". It matches the Rfam family "Bacterial small subunit ribosomal RNA", at positions 30 to 507 of the family's 1533-position model. The record is from RNAcentral.